UAGGGAAUCUUCGGCAAUGGACGAAAGUCUGACCGAGCAACGCCGCGUGAGUGAAGAAGGUUUUCGGAUCGUAAAACUCUGUUGUUAGAGAAGAACAAGGACGUUAGUAACUGAACGUCCCCUGACGGUAUCUAACCAGAAAGCCACGGCUAACUACGUGCCAGCAGCCGCGGUAAUACGUAGGUGGCAAGCGUUGUCCGGAUUUAUUGGGCGUAAAGCGAGCGCAGGCGGUUUCUUAAGUCUGAUGUGAAAGCCCCCGGCUCAACCGGGGAGGGUCAUUUGAAACUGGGGGACUUGAGUGCAGAAGAGGAGAGUGGAAUUCCAUGUGUAGCGGUGAAAUGCGUAGAUAUAUGGAGGAACACCAGUGGCGAAGGCGGCUCUCUGGUCUGUAACUGACGCUGAGGCUCGAAAGCGUGGGGAGCAAACAGG
This 429-nucleotide ribosomal RNA is filed under the name Gemmatimonadota bacterium. Its description in RNAcentral is "Gemmatimonadetes bacterium partial 16S ribosomal RNA". It matches the Rfam family "Bacterial small subunit ribosomal RNA", at positions 355 to 776 of the family's 1533-position model. The record is from RNAcentral. Lineage: Bacteria; Pseudomonadati; Gemmatimonadota.